This 386-nucleotide RNase P RNA is filed under the name Cricetibacter osteomyelitidis. RNAcentral's name for it is "Bacterial RNase P class A". It matches the Rfam family "Bacterial RNase P class A". Rfam says of the family: Ribonuclease P (RNase P) is a ubiquitous endoribonuclease, found in archaea, bacteria and eukarya as well as chloroplasts and mitochondria. Its best characterised activity is the generation of mature 5'-ends of tRNAs by cleaving the 5'-leader elements of precursor-tRNAs. The record is from Rfam by way of RNAcentral. Lineage: Bacteria; Pseudomonadati; Pseudomonadota; Gammaproteobacteria; Pasteurellales; Pasteurellaceae.
CGAGUUGAUCAGGCAAUCGCCGGUUUAUUGAAGCCCUUAACCGCCGCAAGGCAAUCUAGCGGGACAAGUAAACGGGAGGAAAGUCCGGGCUACACAGGGCAGAGUGCCAGGUAACACCUGGGGGAGGCGACUCCACGACCAGUGCAACAGAGAGCAAACCGCCGAUGUUCGUAAGAGCAGGUAAGGGUGAAAGGGUGCGGUAAGAGCGCACCGCGUACGUGGUAACACGGCACGGCAAGGUAAACUCCACUCGUAGCAAGACCAAAUAGGAACCCAAUCGGCUGCCCGUCGAGGGUUCGGGUAGGUUGCUUGAGCGUUAGUGUGAAUUAACGCCUAGAUGAAUGAUUGUCCAACGACAGAACUCGGCUUAUCGAUCAACUCACCAA